This 420-nucleotide ribosomal RNA is filed under the name uncultured bacterium. RNAcentral describes it as "bacterial SSU rRNA". It matches the Rfam family "Bacterial small subunit ribosomal RNA", at positions 335 to 770 of the family's 1533-position model. The record is from RNAcentral.
ACUCCUACGGGAGGCAGCAGUGGGGAAUAUUGCACAAUGGGCGCAAGCCUGAUGCAGCGACGCCGCGUGGGAUGGACGGCCUCGGGCUUGGUAAACCUCUUUCAGUACCGACGAAGCGCAAGUGACGGUAGGUACAGAAGAAGCACCGGCCAACUACGUGCCAGCAGCCGCGGUAAUACGUAGGGUGCGAGCGUUGUCCGGAAUUACUGGGCGUAAAGAGCUCGUAGGUGGUUUGUCGCGUUGUCCGUGAAAUCCCACGGCUUAACUGUGGGCGUGCGGCGAUACGGGCAGACUGGAGUACUGCAGGGAGGACUGGAAUUCCUGGUGUAGCGGUGGAAUGCGCAGAUAUCAGGAGGAACACCGGUGGCGAAGGCGGUCUCUGGCAGUAACUGACGCUGAGGAGCGAAAGCGUGGGGAGCG